Molecule: transfer RNA, 77 nt
Filed under: Marinobacter nauticus
Lineage: Bacteria; Pseudomonadati; Pseudomonadota; Gammaproteobacteria; Pseudomonadales; Marinobacteraceae
Also listed under: 15 other names
Description: tRNA-Arg
Rfam family: tRNA
About the family: Transfer RNA (tRNA) molecules are approximately 80 nucleotides in length. Their secondary structure includes four short double-helical elements and three loops (D, anti-codon, and T loops). Further hydrogen bonds mediate the characteristic L-shaped molecular structure. tRNAs have two regions of fundamental functional importance: the anti-codon, which is responsible for specific mRNA codon recognition, and the 3' end, to which the tRNAs corresponding amino acid is attached (by aminoacyl-tRNA synthetases). tRNAs cope with the degeneracy of the genetic code in two manners: having more than one tRNA (with a specific anti-codon) for a particular amino acid; and 'wobble' base-pairing, i.e. permitting non-standard base-pairing at the 3rd anti-codon position.
Source: RNAcentral
CCGCCCGUAGCUCAGCUGGAUAGAGCGUUGCCCUCCGGAGGCAAAGGUCUCAGGUUCGAAUCCUGACGGGCGGGCCA